This 213-nucleotide long non-coding RNA is filed under the name Elaeis guineensis (African oil palm). RNAcentral's name for it is "long non-coding RNA (EGUI_LNC023639)". The record is from RNAcentral. Lineage: Eukaryota; Viridiplantae; Streptophyta; Magnoliopsida; Arecales; Arecaceae.
UCCUUCGCUCUUUAUGACAUCUUAUGAAAAAAUUAAGAUAUUUUAUGAAAAAAUUAUGACAUCUUGUGCAGCAAGUCAUAAUUUGACCGCAGAAUGUCAUAAUAUUGCCACAAAAUGUCAUAAUAUUUAAAAAAAAGAGAGAUAUUUUCGUCAUUUAAAUUUUCAAAUAAAAAUAAAAUUAUGGACAUUAAAUGCAUGUUGAAAAAUGGUGGC